This 1935-nucleotide long non-coding RNA is filed under the name Pan troglodytes (chimpanzee). RNAcentral's name for it is "lincRNA". The record is from RNAcentral. Lineage: Eukaryota; Metazoa; Chordata; Mammalia; Primates; Hominidae.
CUCCACCGCCUGCUUGUUUCGCCAUGCACGGGCGGGACGGUGGGGCUGCAGCGGCGAAAGCGACUGAAGUCCGGGAGCAGUCGCAUGAGCUUCCCGGUCACCAGGAGGCCCCGGGAACAGACACCUCACCCUGACAUUGUGGCAGGAACUUCUGGAUUGCUUUCCAAAGUGGCUGCACUGUUUUCUAUCCCCACUGGGCAGGAAAACAUCUAAGAAAGGAGGCUCCCCCUUCCCUUGCAGGGUUACCAGCAAUUAAAAAGAAGUACUAGAGAGGCAAAUAUCGGCAGUAUACAUCUAAGCGCUGGUCGGAAAAGAAGGAACUCAGCCCAAGAACUUGCCCAAUCUGAUACUGGAGGUGCCACUCAAGAACCACUCCCUCCAAGAUGUUUUCCUGGAUUUCCUCAGCCUAAAGUAAUCCCUCUUUUUCCUGGCUAUACCAUCUGGAACAGAUGACUUCCAAGGACACCGUAGCAAAGAAAAAGAGAACUGGAAGCCCAUGUGCCUUAAUCGCCUCAUCCUAGAGGGCUCAGCAGUCUGGAAAUAGAAACAAUGGUGGUGGAUCAAUUCAAUUGAUCCAGGUUUGGAAGUUGCGUGGCAAGUGAGAAGGAUUUGGAUGGUAAUGAUGAAUGUGUUUCUCACAAACUUGGGGACCCAUCUGGGAUCUCUGUGCCUGCGUGGAGUUGGACUCCGGCCAAGAGGGGAGAGGCGUCCCACCUGAUUUAAGUGGCCUGCUCUGUCUGGGAAUCCCGGCUCCCUGCAGAGGCCAUAGACAAACCUGAGACUGUUAUUCAGGAGGCAGUGGAGGUGACACAGGGAGAAAAGCAGGCACCGUGGCAACCAGGCAACCUCAUGUACGAGCCAAGGAGAAGAAGCAGCAGACACCAAUGCAGGAUUGGUCUUCCACUUCCAGUCUGGACAAGAUAGCAUAGACUCAUUUCUCCCUGCUUCUCCCAGAUGGAGUCUUGCUCUGUUGCCCAGGCUGGAGUGCAGUGGCACGAUGUUGGCUCACUGCAACUUCUGCCUCCCAGGUUCAAGCGAUUCUACCACCUCAGCCUCUUGAGUAGCUGAGACUACAGGGAAACUUGACUGAGAGGAAGAGAAAGCUAAAGAAGUAUCAAAUUCCUCUCUAAGACAUCUUCACUAGUCUUCCAGAACAUCUCCCCCUUGGGAAGCAGAACUCUGAGGUCCAGGAAGACCUUCUGACCAAUCCACUGAGACUGCCUCCUCUUCACUUUCUGGCCUCUUGAGCCAACAUCCAACAUGAUCUUCAUGAGAGGUUGCCGGUUACCUUUCUAAAAACGUAUUUGACCAGAUUUCUUCAUGAUAUUUCAAAAUGUAAAGGCAGAAAACAAGUUAAACUUUAAACAAAUUUAAAUUUAAACAAUCUAAAAGGGAAUUUAAGUAAAUGUAUGACUUUGUUGCAGAGGUUCUAGGCUUCCUUUUUUACAAAAGGAUGGGAAAUUUUAAAGCAACUGCUCUGACUAACCCAGAAAAAUCUUUCUUUGUUUAUCUCCUUUGUAUUUAGCCCCAAUAUCUGAGAAAAUUUUAAACAUAGUUUUUUUUUCUAGGAUUGGUGCCUAAGGGUCAUUCCCUUAUGAAAACCCUAACUUUUUUUACACCUUUGUUGAAUGAAGGAGCUGGUGGAAGUUCAAAUUUGUGUGUUAACAUGUGACUUCAAUUAGAGUCUGAAGAUGGCCACUUGUUAGUAAUCUCACACUGCAUCAUUUUAAAAAAACACAGCAUUUUUGUUCUGGUGAAGAGAGAGGCACUGGAAUUCAUCCCCAUUGUCCACUCCCCACCCAGUGUAUUUUACAGAAAUUCUUAACAAGUUUAAUAGUGUGCUAUUAUAACAUAAUUGCAGCAUUACACCAGAAGCAUUAUCAACACUAAGUAUUCUCCAAUUUAGAAUGCAUGAAUAAAGUCUCUAAAACUCUU